GAGAGACAGAGACCAACAGAGCAUUGACACAGGUCCACAGAGACAGAGCUAGAGACAGAGAGAGCGUGCACGGCGCACAUGUAUAUAAAGCCUGUGGGGCGCCUUUUCUUUUCACAUAGUGUGAUCCAGUCCUAUCAAUUACUAGGAUAUUGGCAUUUGUGAUCAUUGCGUCGUCUGGAAUUUUUUUCUGGAAAAAAGAGGAAACACAGCCAUCUGCCCAGAGCCAUCCAGAAUAUGUCCCAGAGGCCUGUCUGUGUGUACGCGCACUCAGAAGCCUGGGGGCCCUUUCCUUGUCUAAAUGUAGCUCCCCCACCGCGUCCCACCCCUGCACAGGAGCGAGGCCUGUGUCAACUUCAGCAGAGCGAGAAUGAGGACAGGCCCAGGGGCAGGGAACUGGACGAAGGGAGUUGGAGGCCUUUUCUUGGGAAUGGGUGGACCAUUGCCCUGCAUGGGGACAGGGACGGCACUGGUGGGGGAAGGAAAUCUUGAGCUGGUUUCGGCCUUGACCCUCAGCAGCUAGCCCCGGGAGCUCUCAUUCUCUGGACGCCAGGGCCUUGGGUUCCUUGGAUGAGGUGCAUCCCAGCACAGAAGGGCAGCACAGAGGCAGCCUGAGAAGAUUCUGUCGCUGCCAGGUCACCAGGACCUCUGGACCACAGCUGGGUUGCGCUGUUUUCCAGUUUGUGAAACUAGGACUUUGGGGAACAUCCUGUGAAUUGGUGUCAUUUUGAUUUUCCUGGAGGAUUUUUGAGGUCAGCGUGACUGCUGUCACUAACUAAAAUAAAAUCCGAAGUCCCCAAGUGACUGAACAGACCCCCUCUUGGCCAAGGGGACCCCAGAGAAACCUGAAAGCUGAGCUCCCAGCCAUGAGGGGACGGGCGAUCGGACACGCUUCAUCACAGUCCCUCCCCUUUGUGGUUUAAACGACGAUGAUCGGCUGUCAUGCUAAAAUAGAGACACGAGACCGACAGCACAGACUCCUUAUGGCAAUAAGACACCAAAUUAUAAGCAGCACCUCAGGCCACGCCAGGUAAGGGUCGAGCCGCGCACUCUACACUUAGAGAACGGACUCUGCUCUCACACCACAGCGUCUUCUUUUUCUUCAGCAGCUAAACACGCACCGGCCCCGAGAUUCAAACGACUGCAGCUCAUCCACCUGCAGACGCUGGCUGACCCCGUUCCACAGCUGUGACUAUAGCUUUGAUUGGACAAGAGGUUGAUUUCAGUCUCCUGGUAAGAGACCACCAACCAUAGACCUGGUUCAGGCUGAUUAUAGAAGCUGCACACUUGUAUGCCUUCGAGUCCCUGCCUCACCUUUUGACGUGUAGGGACUCAUUGUAAUGCUUUUAAAUGUGAAGCCUCCACCCCAAAGUGAACAUGGGACGCAUGUAACGUGCAUGUUCAGUGGGCACGGCUCAGGACUCUCUUUGUGAAUAUUCAUAGCUCCUCCUGGAACCUGAAUAUGUAUGUUUGGCCAGCUCAAUUCAGCAUGAGGCUCCUGCUGCAACACCGCCUCCUUCCAGGUGCCUGCCAGCUGUUUCUGCCAGAGGCUGCGUCUCCCGGCCUGUCAGAAUGGCCACCCUGCAGGCUGUAAUCCUUUAGAAGAAAUAAAGAUCCCCUUUCCAGAUGUAUAGAUCUUGUGAUUUUUUUCCAUUCACAUCCUUGCAUCUUAUAAUGCCCUGUCUCCAUGGGGGUUACAUAGAAAGCCCUCAGCCUCUAGGGCAGAUGGAGCCAGGACUGAGGGUGGGGGUGGAGAAGGAUCAGGAGACUCACUUCAAGGACUUUCUGGUGCCGGCAGUGUAGGCUUGCCAGAUGAAAUACAGGACACCCAGCAACAUGAACUUUCGUAAUUUUUAUAGUGUAAAUGUGUUCCAAAUAUUGCAUGGGACAUGCUUAUCCUGAAGAAUUAUUCAUUGUUUAUCUGAAAUCCAAAUUUAACUAGGUGUCCUGUAUUUUUAUUUGCUAAAUCUGGUGACCCUUCACUGGGGAGACGCUUUUAAACAGCCUCAACUUAGAAAUUCUUCUCUUCCUGCCAAAAGCGCUAGGGUCUGUAUAUGGGUGCAUGGAAACACGAAAUUAUUGUCACAGGACUGAAGAGUAUGAAAGACUUCUAGUAACCACCAGCUGUGGCAGGGGCCUGUGCAGGGGGUACCCUGGCAGGGAGGAAGCUGCCUUAAUUUUCAACCUCGGACAGAAAAGCGCAUCUGUUAGACACAGCAGAAAGCAGACCUACAUGUAUGGUUAAUAAGGACUAUGUAUUUGACUGCUGUGGGUUCAAUUGUGUCCCUGCGAGAGACACAUUGAAGUCCUAACCCCUGCUGCUUCAGCAUUUGGCUUUAUUUGGAAAUAAGGUCACUGCCAGUGCAGUUAGCUGAGAUGAAAUCAUACUGGUGUCUGGUGGGCCCUUAUUCCAAUAUGACUCGUGAUAUCACAAGAAGAGGAGGACAGACACAGAGACACACUCCAGAGGGAGAAGGCCAUGUGACAGCCACGGACUGCUGGAAGCAGCGGAAUCUAAAGGCAAGGCAGGGAACAGAUUCUCCCUCCCAGUCCUUCGAGAGAACCAACUCUGCCGACAGCUUGAUUUCAGAAUUCUGGUUUCCAGAACGGUGAGAGAAUAAAUUCCUGUUGUUUUAAGCCUCCCGUUUGUGGUGCUUUGUUAUGGCAGCCCCAGGGACUAAUGCAGUCACCGUCACUUGAUUGCAGACAAAACGACUGAGGGUUCUCUGCAAUGAAUUUCAAGUUCUGAAUUGAAAGAGGCUUCAGAGCCUGAAGAAAGAGGCGAUGCCAGCACUCUCUGGAGUGGGAUCCACAGAAGCAGAGAAAGCCCAGGGGAUGAGCCAACCCAGAAUCCAAACGCCCGUGGAUCGGGCCAGACCCAGGACGGCGCUAUCUUGCACACCCAUCACAGGCUUGGGGACACUAGAACUGCACUGUCAGAUAUUCCUGACUUCAUGUGUGUGUGUUUGUGUGUGUGUAGAUCAGGCCAUAUGAUUUACUUGCUGCACUCUGAGCGAUGCUGUGUAGAUAAAGCUAUAUUAUCUAUUUGCUACACUCUGAAUAAUGCCUUCCUCAGUGAUAAUCAUAAUCAAGUGAGCUUUGGAUUGUCAUUAUGAAGUCUCAAAUUAAAACAAUUGGUUGAGAUACUGCCAGCAAGGCAACUAGAUCGGGGAUUGCAGCUGCUGAUGCCAGUCUAGUAUUUAGGUAAGAGGAUGCCUCCACCCUCUUAGAGCAUGUGGCUUGCACAUCCAUUCUUUCAGUGCAGGAAGGGCUGGAGUGUCCACUCCCUACUCCCAACCCCAUCAGUUGUUGUAUGGUCCAAAAUGCAAAGUAAUUUUAAUGUGAUCCAAGAUGCAUAUAAAAACAUUUUAAAAACAGAUAUGUUAUGCAUUGCUUAGAAUGAUGCACCAUCCGCUUCAUGAACAAGCAAGAACUAACUCUAUCAUUGACUUCAUCCACAAAUACUAGAGGUGAUGAACUUGAGGUCAAAGUUCCGAAGUCAGACAGCAUGGGUUUAUUCAUCGCCUGCUAUGUGCAAAUCCUAGAUGUCACCAGGCUCUGCUCACUUGGUGUCUUGGCCACUCUGGGUGAUGUUUACACAAGGCUUGGUGGCUUUGAGAUGGGUUGCAAACAAGAGAUAUCAGUUGUUGGACUUUUGCUUAUAGCUUGGGGUUGGACAUCCUCUAUCCCUCGAUACCUCCUUGCACCCAUCAGCCGUUAUCUUUGAAGGAAACUUUUUCCUUGAGUCUGGUUCCUUGUCUUCAGGUUCUAACCUCAUGGUUUUGGAUCCUUGUCCCUAUGGUUGUGAUCCUUCCUGUCCUUGGCUCUAGUGCUCUUUUUUUUUUUUUUUUCUAUUUCUUUCCUCUACCUGUGCACAUGACCUCUUUGAAGAGCUCACCUCCUCCAGGAAGCCUCCCUGGAAUCACCCUUUUGCCUUCCAUUCUCCUUGUUUAUACAGUCCAUGUCAGUAUAUCCAAAUUGAAUUAUCGCGGUGUGCUGCUUUGCAAUGUGUAUCUGAUUUCACCAAAACCCUCUACUGUCUCUAAUCCCGGGUAUCCAAUUUCAUGUGAAGUUCAGUGAUGUGCUCCUCCCUCCUCCUCUUGCACGCAUGAGCAGGUACUCAACACUUUCUGGUCCAGCUACAUGUGACAUGAGGCCACUCACGCUCUUUUUAAUUAACCCUUAUGACAAUCAUGUGCGUUAUGGAGAAAAUUAAUGGAGGAAAAAUUACAGAGUCACCCGAAACAGUUGCGCUGCUUAUCACCCGGUGUUUGAGCCUGUUUCCCCUGUAAUUAGAUUACAUGUGAGGCAGCCCCAGCUAAUUGUCUGUGCCACCCACCGGGGAACUCCAGCUCUAUCUGUGAACACCCAGGCCUUCCCGCCGCAGGACAGAUGUUGGGUGAGGCUUGCCUCCCACGCAAACAUCUGCUCUGUUGUUCCGAGUCAGUCACGAGAGCCAGCCGGCUUAGACAAGCAGGGGAUGAAUUCCUGGGCGAGAUGCUUGAUCCUGCCAAGUUUCUGAGCACCAGGCUUGGGCCUCUUGAACAGUUCCCUGCAUCUUCCAUGAUCGGCCAGUGCCUCUGCUUCUGCAUUUAGAAACCAGAGUUCACUUCUGGUGGCCUCAAGCCAAAAUGAGUCUACGAACCAGAAGUCUCUUGACAUUGACACUGAUAAACUUUGAUAUGGAAGCAUUUUUGUUUUUGGCAACCAUCAAUUUUUUUUUGUUUUUCCUCAAACACAUGCAUGGAUGAUGUGAGAACCGGUACCUGGAAACUGAGAGACUGCCGCAUGUGUUUCGGGCUCCCAGCUCUAUCCAUAACUGUCUUUGGGGGCUUCCUAGGCAACCUGG
This 4846-nucleotide long non-coding RNA is filed under the name Homo sapiens (human). RNAcentral's name for it is "HSALNT0404193". The record is from RNAcentral. Lineage: Eukaryota; Metazoa; Chordata; Mammalia; Primates; Hominidae.